Molecule: transfer RNA, 77 nt
Filed under: Bacillus phage vB_BanS_Sophrita
Lineage: Duplodnaviria; Heunggongvirae; Uroviricota; Caudoviricetes
Description: tRNA-Asn
Rfam family: tRNA
About the family: Transfer RNA (tRNA) molecules are approximately 80 nucleotides in length. Their secondary structure includes four short double-helical elements and three loops (D, anti-codon, and T loops). Further hydrogen bonds mediate the characteristic L-shaped molecular structure. tRNAs have two regions of fundamental functional importance: the anti-codon, which is responsible for specific mRNA codon recognition, and the 3' end, to which the tRNAs corresponding amino acid is attached (by aminoacyl-tRNA synthetases). tRNAs cope with the degeneracy of the genetic code in two manners: having more than one tRNA (with a specific anti-codon) for a particular amino acid; and 'wobble' base-pairing, i.e. permitting non-standard base-pairing at the 3rd anti-codon position.
Source: RNAcentral
UUGAGGUGUAACUCAGUGGUAGAGUAACUGGCUGUUAACCAGUAAGUCGUGGGUUCAAAUCCCACCUCCUCAGCCAU